This 29-nucleotide non-coding RNA is filed under the name Mus musculus (house mouse). RNAcentral also lists the same sequence under 1 other name. Lineage: Eukaryota; Metazoa; Chordata; Mammalia; Rodentia; Muridae. The record is from RNAcentral.
UUUUGGCUCAGAGUUUCAGAAGCUUCAGU